AAUCAACGCUGGCGGCGUGCCUAACACAUGCAAGUCGAACGAGAAAGGGGAGCAAUCCCUGAGUAAAGUGGCGACCGGGUGAGUAACACGUGACCAACCUACCUUCGAGUGGGGGAUAACCUCGGGAAACCGGGGCUAAUACCGCAUAACCUCCUCGGGACGGAAGUCCUGGGGGGCAAAGGAGCAAUUCGCUUGAAGAGGGGGUCGCGGCCGAUUAGUUAGUUGGCGGGGUAACGGCCCACCAAGACGAAGAUCGGUAGCCGGCCUGAG
This 270-nucleotide ribosomal RNA is filed under the name uncultured bacterium. Its description in RNAcentral is "partial 16S ribosomal RNA". It matches the Rfam family "Bacterial small subunit ribosomal RNA", at positions 32 to 296 of the family's 1533-position model. The record is from RNAcentral.